UACGUAGGCAGCAAGCGUUGUUCGGAGUUACUGGGCGUAAAGAGUGUGUAGGCGGUUCUCUAAGUUUGGUGUGAAAUCUCCCGGCUUAACUGGGAGGGUGCGCCGAAAACUGGAGAGCUUGAGUAUGGGAGAGGAAAGCGGAAUUCCUGGUGUAGCGGUGAAAUGCGUAGAUAUCAGGAGGAACACCUGUGGUGUAGACGGCUUUCUGGACCAUCACUGACGCUGAGACACGAAAGCGUGGGGAGCAAACAGG
This 253-nucleotide ribosomal RNA is filed under the name uncultured bacterium. RNAcentral's name for it is "partial 16S ribosomal RNA". It matches the Rfam family "Bacterial small subunit ribosomal RNA", at positions 524 to 776 of the family's 1533-position model. The record is from RNAcentral.